AUGCACAAAGGGUCUAUAGCUCAAGCAUUGGAUGCUGACAAAAUAGAAGUUCCUUCACCAAAGGAAGAAAGCAAUUCCACCGAUUCGGAAGCUGCUACAGAUACUGAAAACUUUGAAAUUAGUGACGACGACGAUGAUGAUCGUAAUCACAAGCACCGAAGAAGAGAGGCUAUGCCUCAACCUUUUGGUGAGAGUAUCGAAGAGCAAGCUGCAGGGAGGCCUUUUAAAAGAAGGCCCAGGAUUUCUGGUAAUGGGCAGCCUUUUGGUGGAGCUGAUUCACGUGGGGAAGCACAGAACAACUUCAUACCAAAAUUCAAGAGGCGUCCUGGACCAGGAGCUCACAGUCGGGGAGGUAGAGUGAACCAGUCCUUCCAUUCAGCUUCUGCUGCUGCUCGCCCUCCUAUGGCACGGGGAAGAGGACGGAAUGGUGCACCCUGGACUCAUCAUGACCCAAGAUUUAACACACUUGACAUGAUUGAUUUUGCAUCACAGAUGGCCUCACAAGGACCACCCACACAUCCUAACUUAUUUAUGGGUCCUCCACUGCCGAGUGGCGGUGGUGCUCAAAACGGUCCGUGGGGUCCGUAUGGAUUUAUGCCUGGAAUGCCUAAUGGAAUGAUGGAUCCAAUUCACCCACUUGGAAUGCAGGGCCCUAUUCAGCCUCCUUUAAUUGAUCUUGGCAUGCCUCGUCAGCGUUGUAGAGACUUUGAGGAGCGUGGAUUUUGCUUGAGAGGGGAUAUGUGCCCCAUGGAGCAUGGUGUAAAUAGAAUUGUUGUUGAAGAUAUGCAGAGCCUAUCACAGUUCAAUCUUCCAGUCUCAGUUCCAAAUGCUCCAGGACUAGGUAUCCAAAGUGAGACAGGGACUGCUCAUGUUAACUUAACAAACUUAGGGGGCAGUAAAGGUGUUCCUGCAAAAGAUAUCAAAUCUGGUGUGGCAGAUAACCCAUCGAAGCUAAAUGGAAGCACUGCUUCAGCUGUUGCUGAUGCUGAUGUAUAUGAUCCUGAUCAGCCCCUGUGGAACAAUGAACGGCCUGAAGCAUCUAGUGCUGGUUUUGCACAUACUAAUGAUGGAAUAUGGAAUGCUGAAACCUCAAGCUAUGAAGCAGGGUGGGAGCAUGCAAACCAGGGUUUUGCAGCUGAUGAUUCACAAAAUCCAAAGUCUUCUGUUUGGGGGAGAAUAGCAUCAAAGAGAAAAUCCGGGCCUGGUAAAACAGCUAAUACUACAUCGACAAGUGCAACUGGAAACCAAAGAAGUGACUACAAUGAUGAUAUGGCUCCUAGCACUGUCCAAGUAAAGCCUGCUUCUAAGGAUACUAAUGGUCGACCCAGUUCAAGAAUGUCUGCAGAUGUGGGCCGGCAAAGUAAUAGUAGGACCUCUCACAAAGCAUCUCGCACACUUUAUGUAAAUGGCAUUCCACCAGAAAGCAACAGAUGGGAGGCCCUUCUGUCGCACUUCGAAAAAUUCGGUCAAGUAAUAGAUAUAUAUGUUCCAGCUAACAGUGAGAAAGCUUUUAUCCAGUUCUCUAAAAGGGAAGAAGCUGAAGCUGCCCUAAAAGCUCCAGACGCUGUGAUGGGAAACCGUUUUAUAAGGCUAUGGUGGGCGAACAGAGACAGGAUUACUGACGAGGGAGAUGGUAGAAUCUCUGCGAAACCUCCGCUGUCAAAUUCUGCCCUUCCCCAACCAUCUUCAUCCAACAGAGGCAAGGAUCUUCAAUCUACAACUCCAAGGGCCAGUUCUGGAUCUUCUGCAUCAGGCCCUGGUAUAGGUCCUAAAAAGUUGCCUGCCAACAGUAUUACGUCAAUACCUCCCCCUGCUCCCAAAAGGCAAGAAAAUCUGGAAAUGCUGGAAGCAAUUCGUAAAAAACAAGAUAUGUUAGCUCAGCAGCGUGAUGAGUUACUUCAGCGGUUAGAGAAAUAUGCGAAACAAACAAGUUCAGCAAAUUCAGUAAAACAGGCAGAGGCUGGUGGAAAAACAGUUGGGUCAAACACUGUGGGGAAAGUGGGCGAUGUCAGUUCCAUGAACACUGGGACAGAAGGGCCGCAAGAGGUCGCUGGUACACUGGAAAAGAAAAUUUCUGGGGAGUUGGCUUCAUCUUCCCCAAAAUAUGCUCCAACAUCCACACAGAAACCAGCUGUAGCUGCAAAGCAGCUAACACCUCUGUUAGCACCACCGCAGAAUAGGUUUAAGCUUGACAACCGGACCACAUCGUUUAGGAUCCUUCCUCCUUUGCCACCUGAAAUCGCAAAAGAAACUGUCUUGAAAGAUCAUUUUGCAGCAUUCGGUGAGCUUUCAUCUGUUGUACUGGAAGACACUGAAGCCCACAACCAUGAUACAACCUUAAAGCCUUCCCUGAGUUGCUCGGCUUGUGUGACGUACGCAACGCGGCAAUCUGCUGAGAAAGCAUUUAUUAGUGGCAAAUCUUGUAAAGGGCACAUGCUACGGUUUAUGUGGUUGACGGCCUCUCCUGGCUCUAAUAACCAAUCGAGACCUCAGAAAAGUUUAAUUCCCGUCAGGCCCACUGGCAUCUCAGGACAAACUGGCAACAUGACAUCUGAGUCCCAAAGCCCUGUUGGGAAAAUCUCAUCUGCUGCCACAUCUGCUACAGCAGCCAUUCCUCAUAGUGAAUCCGUUCCAACUGCAGAAAGUUCAAAGAUUUUUCCUAUUGGGAUUUCCAAAGAAUUAUCUACCAGUUCCUCUCUAUCAUCAAAUGUUGAGUGUCCUCCUGGAAAUGAUUCCACAAUGAAUGCCGUCUUUACAGACCCGGAUGUUCCACAGUGA
RNAcentral lists this ribosomal RNA (2778 nucleotides) under Triticum aestivum (bread wheat). Its description in RNAcentral is "partial small subunit ribosomal RNA". The record is from RNAcentral. Lineage: Eukaryota; Viridiplantae; Streptophyta; Magnoliopsida; Poales; Poaceae.